CUCAGCAUAGCUCAGUUGGAAGAGCGCGGGACUGUAAAUCCCGAUGUCGCUGGUUCGAUCCCGGCUGCUGAGA
This 73-nucleotide transfer RNA is filed under the name Plicaturopsis crispa FD-325 SS-3. Its description in RNAcentral is "tRNA-Tyr (GTA) (tRNA-Tyr-GTA-2-1)". It matches the Rfam family "tRNA". Rfam says of the family: Transfer RNA (tRNA) molecules are approximately 80 nucleotides in length. Their secondary structure includes four short double-helical elements and three loops (D, anti-codon, and T loops). The record is from RNAcentral. Lineage: Eukaryota; Fungi; Basidiomycota; Agaricomycetes; Amylocorticiales; Amylocorticiaceae.